CUGAGCAGCCCUGGAAAUUUUUUUCUGGCAGAUCGUUGCAUGUGGUUAUGAGAUGGUCAUACCACCUUUGUGUGUUUUGGGGCAUCUGAAAUUGAGGACUUCAGAAUGAGACAAUCUAUUUCACAUACUACAUAAUAAUGUUGAAGCAAUUUUAUUUCUUUAAAAAAGCCCUACAGGGUGGAUUAGGAGAUAGUACGUUUUUGACAUUAUGGGACCUUCUAGAAUCCUGGAUUUCUCAAAAUGUUUGGAUAGCAAUCUUCUUUAUAAUUUCCUUAGGAAUUAUUUUUGAGAUGGUACUCAUAAAGAUUUGUACAUCCUUUCAGAAGAAGCCUGCACUUCCAGAAAAGAGUAAUUCAGAUGCCCAGGAGAAGGAACACAGUUGCCUGAAAAGCAUGAAAUUUGACAAUUGGUCAAUUCAUUCAUCUUCAGAGGAAAGAAUUGAUGACUUUUCAGAAGGAACAAGCACUUCAUUACUUACAUCUGAAGAAAAUGAAGGUUACUUCAAAGACAGAGUUUUAUCAGCAGAUGAAAUAACAUGGGCAGGUAGCAGUGAAGCAAAGGAAAUUUCUCUAAGCCAUAGAGGGUAUCCAGAAAAUGAACGUGAAGCAAUACAAUCUUCAUCAAAGAAAUUAUUUUCAAUGAUGAAAACCAACAAAACUAAAAAUUUAAUGUUUUCUUCUGACUUUAACUUUUCAAGAACUUCUAGAAUCACUAUGGAAAGUGAAGAUCUAGAUGUGGCAUCAUGCCCGUCUGCCCAUUUAUUUCUUUCUAGAGAC
Molecule: long non-coding RNA, 776 nt
Filed under: Equus asinus (donkey)
Lineage: Eukaryota; Metazoa; Chordata; Mammalia; Perissodactyla; Equidae
Description: lncRNA (ENSEASG00005023999.1)
Source: RNAcentral